Molecule: ribosomal RNA, 497 nt
Filed under: uncultured bacterium
Lineage: Bacteria
Description: partial 16S ribosomal RNA
Rfam family: Bacterial small subunit ribosomal RNA
Source: RNAcentral
GAUGAACGCUGGCGGCGUGCCUAAUACAUGCAAGUCGAGCGAACGGACGAGAAGCUUGCUUCUCUGAUGUUAGCGGCGGACGGGUGAGUAACACGUGGAUAACCUACCUAUAAGACUUGGAUAACUUCGGGAAACCGGAGCUAAUACCGGAUGAUAUUUUGAACCGCAUGGUUCAAAAGUUAAAGACGUUCUUGCUGUCACUUAUAGAUGGAUCCGCGCUGCAUUAGCUAGUUGGUAAGGUAACGGCUUACCAAGGCAACGAUGCAUAGCCGACCUGAGAGGGUGAUCGGCCACACUGGAACUGAGACACGGUCCAGACUCAUACGGGAGGCAGCAGUAGGGAAUCUUCCGCAAUGGGCGAAAGCAUGACGGAGCAACGCCGCGUGAGUGAUGAAGGUAUUCGGAUCGUAAAACUCUGUUAUUAGGGAAGAACAUAUGUGUAAGUAACUGUGCACAUCUUGACGGUACCUAAUCAGAAAGCCACGGCUAACUACGUG